This 226-nucleotide ribosomal RNA is filed under the name uncultured bacterium. Its description in RNAcentral is "partial 16S ribosomal RNA". It matches the Rfam family "Bacterial small subunit ribosomal RNA", at positions 32 to 232 of the family's 1533-position model. The record is from RNAcentral.
AAUCAACGCUGGCGGCGUGCCUCAGACAUGCAAGUCGAACGCGAAAGUCUCCUUCGGGGAGUAAGUAGAGUGGCGCACGGGUGGAGUAACACGUAGGUAAUCUACCUUUGGUAUGGGGAAGUAACAACCGGAAACGGUUGCUAAUACCGCAUAAUGCAGCGGCACCUAAUGGUGACAGUUGUUAAAGACGGGGGAGUCGUAAGACCUCGCGUCUGAAGAGGAGCCU